GCUGGGCGUGGUGGUGCAUGCCUGUAAUCCCAGCGGCUGGGGAUGCUGAGAUAGGAGGAUAGUGAGUUCAAAGCCAGCCUCAGCAACAGUGAGGUACCAAGCAACUCAGUGAGACCCUGUCUCUA
RNAcentral lists this small RNA (125 nucleotides) under Marmota monax (woodchuck). The record is from RNAcentral. Lineage: Eukaryota; Metazoa; Chordata; Mammalia; Rodentia; Sciuridae.